GACGAACGCUGGCGGCGCGCUUAACACAUGCAAGUCGAGCGAGAACCAGGGCUUCGGCCCUGGGGAAAGCGGCGAACGGGUGAGUAACACGUGAGUAACCUGUCCUCGGCACCGGGAUAGCCCGGGGAAACCCGGAUUAAUACCGGAUGGCCUUUCGAGUCUUCGGGCUCGUCAGAAAAGUUAGCUUCGGCCUCCGGCCGAGGAGGGACUCGCGGCGGAUUAGCUUGUUGGUGAGGUAACGGCUCACCAAGGCGACGANCCGUAGCUGGUCUGAGAGGACGAUCAGCCACACUGGGACUGAGACACGGCCCAGACUCCUACGGGAGGCAGCAGUGGGAAUCUUGCGCAAUGGGCGAAAGCCUGACGCAGCGACGCCGCGUGCGGGAAGAAGGCCUCGGUUG
This 401-nucleotide ribosomal RNA is filed under the name uncultured bacterium. RNAcentral's name for it is "bacterial SSU rRNA". It matches the Rfam family "Bacterial small subunit ribosomal RNA", at positions 28 to 425 of the family's 1533-position model. The record is from RNAcentral.